ACCUUCCGUUUACAAGAAGUUCCUCUUCAUGGUCAGUCCACUAGAAUCUCUCCAUCCCUUCUGUGAAUUGGUUCUGACCGUCAUGGAAGUUGAGUUGAAUUGUUGUCGAGCUUUUGUCCAAGGUGAUGCUUAAAAGCACAGGCUCUAGUGUCAAAGUGAACGUGGUUAAGACCCUUCACUUUCUGAAUUUCUGUCUUCGGCAUUGGUGAUAGCCUCCGACUACCUGACUGCUAUGAAGACGAAAUGAGAGAAUCUACAUAAGGUUCCUACCCUAAGACUAAGUCCACGGUUCAAAGAUUUACAAAUCACCACCACAUGGCUCCAGAAUUGCUACAGCAGGCAAGGAGGCUUUUAUUGCACAAGGAUUGUGUGACAAGCACAGUGCUACUUCUAGAAUCAUAGGGCACAGAAGACUUGGUGCCUGCUGUCACAGACGUUACAUUCUAAUCAAGGAAGCAGCCAUGAAGUCUGUAAACUAUACAAAUAAUUGUAUAAUUCAAAAACCAAUAAAUGGAACAGAAGAAAAAUA
This is a long non-coding RNA of Neofelis nebulosa (Clouded leopard), 529 nucleotides long. RefSeq lists it as uncharacterized. NCBI's taxonomy places the organism in Eukaryota, Metazoa, Chordata, Mammalia, Carnivora, Felidae. The transcript is spliced from 3 exons. The record is from RefSeq and is a predicted model, not a curated record.